RNAcentral lists this ribosomal RNA (207 nucleotides) under uncultured bacterium. RNAcentral's name for it is "partial 16S ribosomal RNA". It matches the Rfam family "Bacterial small subunit ribosomal RNA", at positions 568 to 774 of the family's 1533-position model. The record is from RNAcentral.
CGCGUAGGCGGCCCUGUUUGUCGCGUGUGAAAGCCCCGGGCUCAACCUGGGAAUGGCGCGCGAGACGGCGGGGCUGGAGUUCGGGAGAGGAGCGUGGAAUUCCCAGUGUAGAGGUGAAAUUCGUAGAUAUUGGGAAGAACACCGGUGGCGAAGGCGGCGCUCUGGACCGAGACUGACGCUGAGGCGCGAAAGCGUGGGGAGCAAACA